RNAcentral lists this ribosomal RNA (179 nucleotides) under uncultured Rhodocyclaceae bacterium. RNAcentral's name for it is "partial 16S ribosomal RNA". It matches the Rfam family "Bacterial small subunit ribosomal RNA", at positions 1204 to 1382 of the family's 1533-position model. The record is from RNAcentral. Lineage: Bacteria; Pseudomonadati; Pseudomonadota; Betaproteobacteria; Rhodocyclales; Rhodocyclaceae.
AUGGGUAGGGCUUCACACGUCAUACAAUGGUCGGUACAGAGGGUUGCCAGCCCGCGAGGGGGAGCUAAUCCCACAAAGCCGACCGUAGUCCGGAUCGCAGUCUGCAACUCGACUGCGUGAAGUCGGAAUCGCUAGUAAUCGUGGAUCAGCAUGUCACGGUGAAUACGUUCCCGGGUCUU